Molecule: ribosomal RNA, 616 nt
Filed under: uncultured archaeon
Lineage: Archaea
Description: bacterial SSU rRNA
Rfam family: Bacterial small subunit ribosomal RNA
Source: RNAcentral
AGCUGCAUCAGCUAUAACGCGUGGUGUGAUGAAGGUCCUCGGAUUGUAAAGCCCAUUUUAGUGGAGCAAGAUAAUGACGGUAUCCACAGAAAAAGCACCGGCAAACUUCGUGCCAGCAAGCCGCGAGUAAUAGGAAGGGUGCUAGCGUUGUUCGGAAUCAUUGGGCGUAAAGCGUACGUAGGCGGUUUAGUAAGUCGAUUGUGAAAGCCCCGACUCAACUUGGGAACUGCAAUCGAAACUGCUUUGCUCAGCAGUUUGGUGGGGGAUAGUGGAAUCCUAGUGUAGGGGUGAAAUCCGUAGAUAUUAGGAGGAACAUCAGUGGCGAAGGCGACUAUCUACGCCAAUACUGACGCUAAGGUACGAAAGCGUGGGGAGCAAACAGGAUUAGAUACCCUGGAUAGUCCACGCAGUAAACGAUGAGUGCUAGUUGUCGGGGUUAACCCCUCGGUGGCGAAGCUAACCGCGUUAAGCACUCCGCCUGAGGAGUACGAUCGCAAGAUUAGAACUCAAAGGACUUGACGGGGACCCGGACAAGCAGUGGCAUCAAGUGGUUUAAUUCGAUGCCUACACGAAAAACCUUAACAAGCCUUGAACUCUAGAUGAUCCGGUAUAGAGA